RNAcentral lists this ribosomal RNA (498 nucleotides) under Glandiceps hacksi. Its description in RNAcentral is "partial 16S ribosomal RNA". It matches the Rfam family "Bacterial large subunit ribosomal RNA", at positions 1846 to 2589 of the family's 2925-position model. The record is from RNAcentral. Lineage: Eukaryota; Metazoa; Hemichordata; Enteropneusta; Spengelidae.
UAGGGGGUACUGCCUGCCCAGUGAAUUUUCAACGGCCGCGGUAUCCUAACCGUGCAAAGGUAGCGCAAUCACUAGUUCUCUAAAUAAGGACCUGUAUGAAUGGCAACACGAGGAUUUAACUGUCUCCUCCCUAACAAAAUUAAACUUCUCUGGUGGUGCAAAAGCCACCAUACCAGCGCUAGACGAGAAGACCCUGUCGAGCUUAAAAGCUUAAAUUCUGAGGACAACAAAAGGGUCCACCCUUUCCCCCUCUUUUUCCCCCGCUUUUUGGUUGGGGCAACCGCGGAGGACAAACAUCCCCCGCUCUCACUUUAAUAGACAUCACGUCAUAAGCGGAAAAGCGAUCCGGCACCCCCGAGCAACGAACAAAGUUACCGCAGGGAUAACAGCGUAAUUCCCCCUGAGAGCCCACAUUGACGGGGGAGAUUGCGACCUCGAUGUUGGAUUGGGGAACCCUGAGGGUGCAGCCACUUUCAAAGGUUGGUCUGUUCGACCAUU